UUUCUUUCUAAAGUUAAAAAGGCUACUUAAUAAAACAGCUUGUAACUGAGUAUAUACCUGCUUUAAGCAAUGUAACAAAUACACAUGAAAGCUCUUGAGGCCCUACACUGUGCAAGGCCAAGUAUGAAUGUGCCUUUAAAAAAACAAGCCAGGCCAGAGAGACAGAAAGAAAGAAAGAAAAAGAAAUGAAAGGACGAUUGGCCUUUAGCAUAGAAAUGCUGAAUCACAGGUAUGAUGUGGUUGUUGGUACGAAGCCAUAAUAUCUGCAAUAAUAACCAACCACCAUGUCCUUGAUAUGGCAAUAGAUUUUUAUGAAGGAUCAUCAGACCCAUAAGUAAUACUCCUCAGGACAAGUCAUUGACAAACCAUCAUUAAUCUGCUAUUAAACUCACAAACCUCUUUCUAGAGACAUUUUCAUUAACUCAACACUAUAAUGUAGUCUAAACCUAUUUGACCUUGUGUCAAGGACAUAUAUUUUUCUGCUUGUCUGUGGAGUUUUAAUCUCCUAACAGCAUAUUGCUCAGAUUUCUCCCUCUCUCUCUUUUUCUCUCUCUCUCUCUCUCUCUCUCCUCUCCCCUGUCAUUCUAAAACACACAGUCAGUAAAGCUCUAGUGGAGAUAUUUACCUUUACACUGGCUUGGAAUAAUUUUAUCAGGCCUAAACGCAGCAGAAAGAGGAACGUUUUCAUUCCCAUCGUCGGAUCCUUUAACACAGGGUUUUUACAGAGGGGUCGGCUUGCGACGCCUCUGAGCAACAAAACCAGAAUAACCAUCUUUCCUGCCUGAUGGUGCUUUUUUUUUUUUUCUUUCUUUCUCUCUCUCUCUCUUAAGAAAAUGAAAUCCAGCAUAAUUUAAGAGCGCAGCCUCUGAGGAGUGAAACUGCUGGAAAUUCUUGGGGCUGAUUUUUGUUAAGAACCUUUAUGCAAACCAUCCCCCUCAUUUUCUUGCUGAAGACAGGAUGAAGGGGGGGGGAUUGCAUGAGCUCUUCAUUUCUCAGAGACAGACAGAGAGAUUUCAUCAGCUUUUAUUAAGGUAAAGGACAUUUUACUGUAGGGGACUUUUUUUUUUUAAUUUUUUUUUAAGUGUAAGCCUUUUUAAAUAUAUAUAUCCAUAUAGUCAUAACAUUUGCAUUUAUUACCAUGUCCUAAUUUACAAGUAUUUGCAAACCAAACAUGAAUUGUUUUCCUUUCCUUUUCCAAACCCUACACUAGCCUUUUUUCCGGCAAUAAACUGCAAUUCUGCACCAGGAUAAAGAAUGACUUAUUAUGAAUACUUUUCCCUUUUAUUUUAUUUCAAUUUAUUUUGAAACCCUCCUUUUUUGUCAAGUUGAAAAACAUGCUGCUCUUUAAUGGCUGCUUAGCUGUUGUCUGUUUUCAAAAUGGCGGAGUCUCUAACAGCAGCAGGAUGAAGAAGAAGGAGCCGCUACGCCAUUUCUGGGCGAGCCAUACUCGGAUACUAUCUGACUAAAUAGUAUGUGACGACUACUUCAAUUAAGGUUUAUUUAUUGCGUUUUGUCUUUAAAAACAUUUCCCAUGUCGCCAAACAAGACGACGACGUUUUUAAAUAUCACACCCAACCGUACUAAAUAGUAUGAAUAGUUAAUAUAUGCGACGUGACGUUUCGACAUACUAUUUAGUAGGCUAGUAUGAAUGCGUUGGAAGGUAGCCAUGGUGACCUAUACUAGCGCCAUUAGAGGCUCGAGCUUCCAUUUCACGCGCAGACAUGUUUUUUUUAAUGGGUUUUUACUAACCAAGGAAGGUUUGAAACCUCCAAAAAUCUCGGGUUUGGAUCCACAUAAGGAGGUAAAAAGUAGUUUUUCAGCUACAGAGCAUUAAAAAACGGGCUCAUCUCGUGAUCUGUAACCCCACCUUCGAGAAUGUUCCACACAGUAACUCGAGACAGGACGAGGCUGCAGAGUAAACAAGAAGCUGAGAGAGAAAGAAAGAAAGGACAUUUUGUUCUAUGCAUUUGAGCACACGUGAUAUGUCUGCAAAUAGUGAGUGGUUUGUGGUGUGUAGAUCUAUGUGCAUACUGUGUUUUUUCCCCCCUAAUUUUGUGCAUUCAUUUUAAUGUCUUUAGCAGUGUAAUGCAUGCACUUUCAAAGGCACCUGUAUGUCUGCAUUUAUUCCUCCUAGGCUAUAAGAACCUACCUACAUUUUCAGAGAAUCAAAUAUAUAGCAAUAAUAGUGCUUAUCGGUCAUUUCAGGCUUCCCACCCCCCCUAGAAUCCCUAUUCUGGGAGCGAGAGAGAGAAGAGAGGUAGGAUGUGUGAACUGGGUUUACAGUAAGAAAGGCUGGAAUAUGGUGCACUAGUGCAAAAAGUGAUCUGUGGCUCGUACUGAUUAAAGCUCCACGAGAUACAUGAGAGUACAGCUGGACGUGAGCAGCGUGAACGUAAUCAGCAAACGUGAGAAGGGCAUGUGGAUGUGGCGAUCUUUAACAAGAAAGAAAAAAGCUGAGACUCAUGCAGUCGGUCUAACCUUACAACAUAGCAGGAGUAAAAAAGUGGAGCAGCCCGGAGGGUGGAGGGCACACGCAGCUCCCUCAGAAGUGCUUUUGUCUGGUUCUAUUUUAAACACACACACACACACACACACACACACACACACACACACACACACAGAGAGAGAGAGAGAGAGAGAGGGACGGACAAGAGAGAAACCCUGCUGUCAAGAAUCUGGUUUCAUUCGCACCGGAUCCGUGAAGAAGAUUACCGUCAUUUGAAUAGGUAUCUGUCAGGCCAUGUUUGUGAGUACAACCCCGACAGAACGGCUGAUUUAGGAGCUAAUCGAUGUCGGCUGGUUAAAGGUCUGCUGAUGUGGAGAAUUUCCAGUGGAUUAAGUUUAGGGUUCAAAGGUCAGAUUAUAUGGUUAAACCUAACCACAGGGCUUGGCACACAGUGUUUGUGUUUAAAAUAAAGCAUUUUGAAAUGUAAGUACUGUUUAUUGAGGUUUGAGUGAGUGAGAAAUAAGGAAAUGUUGAUUUAAUUGUCUUUCAAUCCAAUUCUGUAUGUGAUUAGUGGAACCUUCCUUGUUUCUUAUUAAUCAAGUACUUGAAAGGAAUAUGCUGAUUUUUAUUUUUUUGAUACUGAAGGACCUAAGGCUGGGAAAUGUGGUGCGUGUUCAGUAUCUAUCUAUCUAUCUAUCUAUCUAUCUAUCUAUCUAUCUAUCUAUCUAUCUAUCUAUCUAUCUAUCUA
Molecule: long non-coding RNA, 3194 nt
Organism: Hemibagrus wyckioides
Lineage: Eukaryota; Metazoa; Chordata; Actinopteri; Siluriformes; Bagridae
Exons: 2
Source: RefSeq, a predicted model, not a curated record